GGCGGACGGGUGAGUAAUGCAUAGGAAUCUGCCUAUUAGUGGGGGACAACGUGGGGAAACUCACGCUAAUACCGCAUACGCCCUACGGGGGAAAGCUGGGGAUCUUCGGACCUGGCGCUAAUAGAUGAGCCUAUGUUGGAUUAGCUAGUUGGUAGGGUAAUGGCCUACCAAGGCGACGAUCCAUAGCUGGUCUGAGAGGAUGAUCAGCCACACUGGGACUGAAACACGGCCCAGACUCCUACGGGAGGCAGCAGUGGGGAAUAUUGGACAAUGGGCGAAAGCCUGAUCCAGCAAUACCGCGUGUGUGAAGAAGGCCUGAGGGUUGUAAAGCACUUUCAAUAGGAAGGAAUACCUGCCGGUUAAUACCCGGUAGACUGACAUUACCUAUACAAGAAGCACCGGCUAACUCCGUGCCAGCAGCCGCGGUAAUACGGAGGGUGCAAGCGUUAAUCGGAAUUACUGGGCGUAAAGCGUGCGUAGGCGGUUGUUUAAGUCAGAUGUGAAAGCCCUGGGCUUAACCUGGGAACUGCAUUUGAUACUGGGCAACUAGAGUUUAGUAGAGGGGAGUGGAAUUUCAGGUGUAGCGGUGAAAUGCGUAGAGAUCUGAAGGAACACCAGUGGCGAAGGCGGCUCCCUGGACUAAAACUGACGCUGAGGUACGAAAGCGUGGGUAGCAAACAGGAUUAGAUACCCUGGUAGUCCACGCCGUAAACGAUGUCAACUAACUGUUGGGUUCUUAAAGAACUUAGUAGUGGAGCUAACGUAUUAAGUUGACCGCCUGGGGAGUACGGCCGCAAGGCUAAAACUCAAAUGAAUUGACGGGGGCCCGCACAAGCGGUGGAGCAUGUGGUUUAAUUCGAUGCAACGCGAAGAACCUUACCUAC
This 884-nucleotide ribosomal RNA is filed under the name uncultured Methylomonas sp. Its description in RNAcentral is "bacterial SSU rRNA". It matches the Rfam family "Bacterial small subunit ribosomal RNA", at positions 97 to 978 of the family's 1533-position model. Lineage: Bacteria; Pseudomonadati; Pseudomonadota; Gammaproteobacteria; Methylococcales; Methylococcaceae. The record is from RNAcentral.